GAUGAACGCUGGCGGCGUGCCUAAUACAUGCCAGUCGAGCGAACAGAUGAGGAGCUUGCUCCUCUGACGUUAGCGGCGGACGGGUGAGUAACACGUGGAUAACCUACCUAUAUGACUGGGAUAACUUCGGGACACCGGAGCUAAUACCGGAUAAUAUCUUGAACCGCAUGGUUCAAUAGUGAAAUACGGUUUUGCUGUCACUUAUAGAUGGAUCCGCGCCGCAUUAGCUAGUUGGUAAGGUAACGGCUUACCAAGGCAACGAUGCGUAGCCGACCUGAGAGGGUGGUCGGCCACACUGGAACUGAUACACGGUCCAGACUCCUACGGGAGGCAGCAGUAGGGAAUCUUCCGCAGUGGGCGAAAGCCUGACGGAGCAACGCCGCGUGAGUGAUGAAGGUCUUCGGAGCGUAAAACUCUGUUAUUAGGGAAGAACAAAUGUGUAAGUAACUAUGCACGUCUUGACGGUACCUAAUCAGAAAGCCACGGCUAACUACGUG
RNAcentral lists this ribosomal RNA (497 nucleotides) under uncultured bacterium. RNAcentral's name for it is "partial 16S ribosomal RNA". It matches the Rfam family "Bacterial small subunit ribosomal RNA", at positions 28 to 507 of the family's 1533-position model. The record is from RNAcentral.